Molecule: ribosomal RNA, 439 nt
Filed under: uncultured bacterium
Lineage: Bacteria
Description: partial 16S ribosomal RNA
Rfam family: Bacterial small subunit ribosomal RNA
Source: RNAcentral
CUACGGGUCGCAGCAGUGGGGAAUCUUAGACAAUGGGCGCAAGCCUGAUCUAGCCAUGCCGCGUGAGUGACGAAGGCCUUAGGGUCGUAAAGCUCUUUCGCUAGGGAAGAUAAUGACUGUACCUAGUAAAGAAACCCCGGCUAACUCCGUGCCAGCAGCCGCGGUAAUACGGAGGGGGUUAGCGUUGUUCGGAAUUACUGGGCGUAAAGCGCGCGUAGGCGGAUCAGAAAGUUGGGGGUGAAAUCCCAGGGCUCAACCCUGGAACUGCCUCCAAAACUCCUGGUCUUGAGUUCGAGAGAGGUGAGUGGAAUUCCGAGUGUAGAGGUGAAAUUCGUAGAUAUUCGGAGGAACACCAGUGGCGAAGGCGGCUCACUGGCUCGAUACUGACGCUGAGGUGCGAAAGCGUGGGGAGCAAACAGGAUUAGAUACCCCGGUAGUC